UACGGAGGGAGCUAGCGUUGUUCGGAAUUACUGGGCGUAAAGCGCACGUAGGCGGCUUUGUAAGUUAGAGGUGAAAGCCCGGGGCUCAACCCCGGAAUUGCCUUUAAGACUGCAUCGCUUGAAUCCGGGAGAGGUGAGUGGAAUUCCGAGUGUAGAGGUGAAAUGCGUAGAUAUCUGGAGGAAUACCGGUGGCGAAGGCGGCAUCCUGGACCGACAUUGACGCUGAGGAGCGAAAGCCAGGGGAGCAAACGGG
This 253-nucleotide ribosomal RNA is filed under the name uncultured bacterium. Its description in RNAcentral is "partial 16S ribosomal RNA". It matches the Rfam family "Bacterial small subunit ribosomal RNA", at positions 524 to 776 of the family's 1533-position model. The record is from RNAcentral.